GGUUUUUGCUCAAUUUUGAGUCAAAACCGAUAUCUCGAGUUCUAGACGUUCAAUCUUUGAGAUUCUUGGACAGAUGCACUCGGAAUGAAGUUCUGAAUCACUUUCAUGAAGAAAUCGAAGCGAGUGGUGGACGUUUUCACGUUGAUCGGAGCUGCUACCGGUUUCUGGAAAUUUUCCGGCCAAACCGUGGCUUCUAGCGGGUAAUCUUGCAGGUUAGGAGAAUCAGGGCGGUGAUCGUGCGGGUUAGAGUAAUUGUUGUAGUU
This 263-nucleotide long non-coding RNA is filed under the name Rosa chinensis. RNAcentral describes it as "sRNA RchiOBHm_Chr5g0023791". Lineage: Eukaryota; Viridiplantae; Streptophyta; Magnoliopsida; Rosales; Rosaceae. The record is from RNAcentral.